GAUGAACGCUGGCGGCGUGCCUAAUACAUGCAAGUCGAGCGGACGGACGAGAAGCUUGCUUCUCUGAUGUUAGCGGCGGACGGGUGAGUAACACGUGGAUAACCUACCUAUAAGACUGGGAUAACUUCGGGAAACCGGAGCUAAUACCGGAUGAUAUUUUGAACCGCAUGGUUCAAAAGUGAAAGACGGUCUUGCUGUCACUUAUAGAUGGAUCCGCGCUGCAUUAGCUAGUUGGUAAGGUAACGACUUACCAAGGCAACGAUGCAUAGCCGACCUGAGAGGGUGAUCGGCCACACUGGAACUGAGACACGGUCCAGACUCCUACGGGGGGCAGCAGUAGGGAAUCUUCCGCAAUGGGCGAAAGCCUGACGGAGCAACGCCGCGUGAGUGAUGAAGGUCUUCGGAUCGUAAAACUCUGUUAUUAGGGAAGAACAUAUGUGUAAGUAACUGUGCACAUCUUGACGGUACCUAAUCAGAAAGCCACGGCUAACUACGUG
Molecule: ribosomal RNA, 497 nt
Filed under: uncultured bacterium
Lineage: Bacteria
Description: partial 16S ribosomal RNA
Rfam family: Bacterial small subunit ribosomal RNA
Source: RNAcentral